Molecule: transfer RNA, 111 nt
Filed under: Dactylonectria estremocensis
Lineage: Eukaryota; Fungi; Ascomycota; Sordariomycetes; Hypocreales; Nectriaceae
Description: Ilyonectria sp. 3 AC-2011 tRNA
Rfam family: tRNA
About the family: Transfer RNA (tRNA) molecules are approximately 80 nucleotides in length. Their secondary structure includes four short double-helical elements and three loops (D, anti-codon, and T loops).
Source: Rfam by way of RNAcentral
GGUAAGAUGGCCGAGUGGUUAAGGCGGUAGACUCAAGCGUCAGCUUGCUUGCCAAACGCAAGAAAAAUUCUACUGGAGCAAUCCGCCUGGGUUCGAGUCCCAGUCUUAUCA